RNAcentral lists this long non-coding RNA (351 nucleotides) under Junco hyemalis (dark-eyed junco). RNAcentral describes it as "lncRNA (ENSJHYG00000007839.1)". Lineage: Eukaryota; Metazoa; Chordata; Aves; Passeriformes; Passerellidae. The record is from RNAcentral.
CUCUGCCAUGCCAAUUAGGAUCAGUUCUGAUUUUUCUUCCUGAGGAGAACACGAGCAUUUGGGACAGAAACCAAGCAGCCUGCCUGACUUCACUGAACAGCCAGGUCCCAAACAGCUGAUGCUGCAUUAUCAGCAAGGACCACAGCUGAUUACUGGCUCAUUAGUUAUCUCUCCUCUGGCCAUUUAGAGCAAAAUGAACAGAAAAUGCUCAUGGUCUCUGAAGAGUUGCUCCUUCCCAAAUUCAAGGCUCGCCUCCAUUUGCUGUCUUCCAACACCUGAGACCAGCAAGAAGAUCCCUUCACAAGAGCCAGCAUGGCGUGCAGCACUGCUUCAGAUUUCUGCUCUUUCCCA